CCUACGGGAGGCAGCAGUGGGGAAUAUUGCACAAUGGGCGCAAGCCUGAUGCAGCGACGCCGCGUGAGGGAUGACGGCCUUCGGGUUGUAAACCUCUUUCAGUAGGGAAGAAGCGAAAGUGACGGUACCUGCAGAAGAAGCGCCGGCUAACUACGUGCCAGCAGCCGCGGUAAUACGUAGGGCGCAAGCGUUAUCCGGAAUUAUUGGGCGUAAAGAGCUCGUAGGCGGUUUGUCGCGUCUGCCGUGAAAGUCCGGGGCUCAACUCCGGAUCUGCGGUGGGUACGGGCAGACUAGAGUGAUGUAGGGGAGACUGGAAUUCCUGGUGUAGCGGUGAAAUGCGCAGAUAUCAGGAGGAACACCGAUGGCGAAGGCAGGUCUCUGGGCAUUAACUGACGCUGAGGAGCGAAAGCAUGGGGAGCGAACAGGAUUAGAUACCCUGGUAGUCCAUGCCGUAAACGUUGGGCACUAGGUGUGGGGGACAUUCCACGUUUUCCGCGCCGUAGCUAACGCAUUAAGUGCCCCGCCUGGGGAGUCGGCCGCAAGGCUAAAACUCAAAGGAAUUGACGGCUGNGAGNGCGAGCGACGACGAGGGAGAGG
This 597-nucleotide ribosomal RNA is filed under the name uncultured bacterium. RNAcentral describes it as "bacterial SSU rRNA". It matches the Rfam family "Bacterial small subunit ribosomal RNA", at positions 338 to 946 of the family's 1533-position model. The record is from RNAcentral.